CCUACGGGUGGCAGCAGUGGGGGAUAUUGGACAAUGGGGGAAACCCUGAUCCAGCGACGCCGCGUGAGUGAAGAAGUAUUUCGGUAUGUAAAGCUCUAUCAGCAGGGAAGAAAGAAAUGACGGUACCUGAGUAAGAAGCCCCGGCUAACUACGUGCCAGCAGCCGCGGUAAUACGUAGGGAGCAAGCGUUAUCCGGAUUUAUUGGGUGUAAAGGGUGCGUAGACGGGAAGUCAAGUUGGUUGUGAAAUCCCUGGGCUUAACUGAGGAACUGCAACCAAAACUAACUUUCUUGAGUGCUGGAGAGGAAAGUGGAAUUCCUAGUGUAGCGGUGAAAUGCGUAGAUAUUAGGAGGAACACCAGUGGCGAAGGCGACUUUCUGGACAGUAACUGACGUUGAGGCACGAAAGUGUGGGGAGCAAACAGGAUUAGAUACCCCUGUAGUC
RNAcentral lists this ribosomal RNA (443 nucleotides) under uncultured bacterium. Its description in RNAcentral is "partial 16S ribosomal RNA". It matches the Rfam family "Bacterial small subunit ribosomal RNA", at positions 338 to 795 of the family's 1533-position model. The record is from RNAcentral.